Molecule: non-coding RNA, 1294 nt
Organism: Pelodiscus sinensis (Chinese soft-shelled turtle)
Lineage: Eukaryota; Metazoa; Chordata; Testudines; Trionychidae
Source: RefSeq, a predicted model, not a curated record
GGCAGAACAGAGGUACAAGGCAGGGGCAACCGCAAAAACUCUCAUGACUUUGCAGUGGAGGGACCUUGAGAAGGAAACUCGCUUUGGGGACACAAAGAAUUAGGAUUAAUGCUUUGCACAAGGUCUUGUCUGAUUUCAGGCAAGCCAUGUAGGGGAACCUGCUGGUAGAUUCUCCAGACACACAGAGGUCCUAAUACAUCUUGGAGGGACAGGGGAAGGAGAUGGAACUUCAAGUCAGGACCCAGGCUGGCACUGGCAGUUAUAACCUGAAAUCUCUUCCCCCGGCCAACCUCCCCCACUCCUGCCAGGAGAUCCAGGAGAUGGUGCUCACAGAACAGUCACUGACUUCUUCCUAGAGAACCAGGUAGGUCAGAAGGGAGUCAACUUUUCUCUCCUACCAGCACUGUGAUUCGAGACGGUGGAAUUUCUCACUGUUGCUCCCUUCCUCUGUCCAAGGACUUUUGAGCCAGUGAGGGGCAAGAAGUCUGUCUCCAUCUUUAUGAACUGUUUAUGAUUCAGGACUUCAGAAAGAAUGGGACCAACCCAGACACUGAACAUAUUCCCAGUCUACAGAUACAAAAUUGUGGCAAUCCUCUUCUCCAGUGCCCAGAUCAAUGAAUAAGAUAUUCCACCCUGAACGCAAUGUCUCAGCCCCCAGGAUGAGGUUGGGAUCAUUUGCACAACAUGUGCACUGGUCUAUUGAUCCUGAGCUGCCUCCUUCCUUCACAAAAUGUCAACUUCUGCAUCAGGUCCAGAGUGUCCCAGGAGAGAGCCAGUGCCAUAAGGAACAGCAGAGUCUUGAUCUGAUUCAUUAUCUCCAUGAAUUUGACUUAAGUGACCUCUGUCCCUGGCUUCCUCAUGCCAAGUGUAGACAGGCUGGCUGCAAUAGGCUGCAGAACCUGUGAAUUGGGAGUGUUCCUCUUGGGAAGUAUAACAGAUUCGGUCCAUUGUGUGAGUGCCCAUUGGUGGCUGAAGGGGGUCUCCUAAUAUUUACUCACCUGUCUGAGGGCAAGUCAAUAUCCAGUCCAUGGCUAGGGUUCAGGCCUCCUCUUUUGCACCCUUCUCUGAGGUGUGGUUUGCAGGGGGUUGGGAGGGACCCAGGUCUGCCCACUCCUCUGGGACCCAGCCCAGGGACUCUAUACAUAGCAGUUACCUGCCAAAUUUCAAAGUCCGUAAUUGCGGUCACGUCCCUGGGCCACUUCCCCAGGAUGCCAUUUCAUCCAGCCCUUCUCUAGGGCCUUGUUGCUGAAUUCUCCUUGUCCAGGGUUGUCGUUGGCUAGCCACAGCAUCUAGC